GUUAUCUUCUUUAUCUGUAUUUCUUUUCAUACAAUGGUUCACGGCUUGAACUAGGAAGAGCUGCAAAGUCAUUGGACAAAGUCAGGUGAGCGCCGAUUUUUCAAAUUCACUCUCAGCACUGUAAUUGGCUAAUAGCCUUGUCGCUGAGAAAUGGUGAGUUCUGAUUGGUUGAUUCGAUCAGAAGGCGGGUCAUCAACAGUUGCUCUGAUUCCGACCGACAGGCAGCAGCAGCUCAACAUACUCGUAAUGUUUGUGGAAAAUAGUAUCCGCAGCUAUAUCGAAGGUAAGAUCAAUUUUCUCUGUAUGAGUUUCUUAGUUAGCGCUUUCUUGUCUUGAUUAUGUGUGAUUUUGUAAUUAGCCAAAGUAGCUCACACUGUUACCAACAACUACGCUUGCUAGAAAAGUAUCGUUUUUCCGACUAAAUGUGCUCAAAUAUGGACAUGCUAUAUGGCGUUGGAAAGCGUAGAACCUCCUGACUUUCAUGGUGAUAUUUAUUUCACAUUCCGGAACAAUUAUUUUCGCUGCGCGAUCGCGUCGAGGCAAACGUCAGCUGUUAGCAACGUUGUUAGCUUUGUGAGCACCAGAAUCGCACAUUUAAUUUGUUUGUGGGGAUAUGGGUGAAAUAAUGUUAAGAGUUAGUUUUUGGAUUAGAAAGAGCCUUAACAUUUUAAGCACUAACAAUAAUAAUAUCCAAAACUUUUAGUUAUUUUGAUAAUAGUGGUGUUUCAGCUUUGUACUUCCCCUCAUUAAACAUACCUGUACUUUGCUUGAUUGUUUGCAUGGAAACAAGAAGAUGAGGGAAUAAAGAGACCACAUGCAUCAUCUGUAUACACCCAGCACCCAGGAAUGUCUGAUUUCUCUGUUCUGCACCAGCCUUAUGCAUGCCCCUCUGAACUCAAAAAGAUCCUGGCUUCUGCAUCCAGCCCCAUUUGGUCCACAACUCUACCCCAGGCCUGCUCUCUCCCUCAGCCAAGUGGAGUCCCUACAAAACGUGGUGCACAACUGGAGACAGGACAAAGAUUUCACCUGAUACCACGUGACGACGAGCUCAAGCACACGCAUUUUAAAACAGAAGAAAGGAAAAAUGGACAUCAAGCAGACGUGACCGCAGAUCAUCUUUACAGUUUACAAUAUGAAGAUUUACCAAGAUGAACACAAAACAUCCACAACAGAAGGUGAACAAAUCAACUUUCCUGGACGAAUGGACAGUUACUUUUGGGCAAUGCUGGAAAAGUCCUGAAGGAAAAAACUUUGGAAGAGAAGAGUGAGUACUUCUCUGCAAGGCUAACAUCACCUGUUAGACUGCUACCCUGCCUGUGGGUAGGAUCGACAGCAGGGGUCUCAACCUGAAUUCCUUGGUGAGCGACUUUUAUUUAACAAAAAUGAUAGAGCUAAUCUACAUAUCGAUGCCCUAUGUGACUUUGGUGGGGUAUUGAGGAUAUUUAAAAAACAAUUAAAGAAAAUAACUUGAGUUUACUCAAUGCUUAUGCUUCACUGUAUUUAGUUAAUUGUUAGCAGAAAGUAUCUACACGCACACACACAUUGUCAGAGAUGGUACUUUAUUUUAAGUCUAAUUAUUCUACUCUGUUGUAACCUCAUUAACUUAACACUUAAGUGUCAGACAGAGCUGAUGUGAAAGUUCAACCCCAAAUUAAGGUCUUGUUGCACAGUUCAAUACGAAAUGCACCAUUUGAUUGUUUUACUGCAUUGACGACUGUCUGUAGCCCUCUUGUUCACACUUCAAUGUGGCUUCAGUGAAAAAGUUGUAUUUAUUUCUGCAAUAUUUGUUGUCUUGCAUGUAUUAAAUAAAUGCAUCAUUUGCAAAUAAAGUAAGAUUUAAUAUUUUUUUCUCUAUCAUAGC
RNAcentral lists this long non-coding RNA (1861 nucleotides) under Neogobius melanostomus (round goby). RNAcentral's name for it is "lncRNA (ENSNMLG00000025997.1)". The record is from RNAcentral. Lineage: Eukaryota; Metazoa; Chordata; Actinopteri; Gobiiformes; Gobiidae.